Bufo bufo (common toad) is the source of this 227-nucleotide long non-coding RNA. RefSeq lists it as uncharacterized. The record is from RefSeq and is a predicted model, not a curated record. The transcript is spliced from 3 exons. Lineage: Eukaryota; Metazoa; Chordata; Amphibia; Anura; Bufonidae.
AGAGGUAAGUGAACAAAGCCUCUAUGAGCAGAUGCAAGGCCCCCCCUGCUCCUAGAGGCUCAUUUGCAUAUUAUAAAAGUUAGUUUUUCUAAAUAACGGCGGCACAUAAUGACAUGGGACUAAUAUAGUUAUGUUCAGCUGACAGCACAUCGCUAAUGUCAGCCAGGUUAAUACCCAUUUCUCUGAUGACAGAAAACCUUUAAAGUUUUUAUUAGGCUUACAAAUCU